Long non-coding RNA from Carassius auratus (goldfish), 233 nucleotides. RefSeq lists it as uncharacterized. The transcript has 2 exons. NCBI's taxonomy places the organism in Eukaryota, Metazoa, Chordata, Actinopteri, Cypriniformes, Cyprinidae. The record is from RefSeq and is a predicted model, not a curated record.
CUUGAAAUUAUGUUAUAAUGUUGCUUAUAUUAUUAUUCUGAUUCUAGGCUGCAGAGGAGUUCUCAUCCAGGCUGCAUAUGAUGUUCUGAGUGGUCCGCAGGAGAGAGCCUGGGUUUUUACACCUUAUACAGGAAUGUGUUUGAGACUAUCGCACAAGAGGAGAUGGAGCACUGUAAAAAUGAGGAGCAGUUUCCCUCAUUUGGAGAGUCUCAUAGUGACUAUGACACUGUAUG